RNAcentral lists this transfer RNA (71 nucleotides) under Alepes djedaba (shrimp scad). RNAcentral describes it as "tRNA-Pro". It matches the Rfam family "tRNA". Rfam says of the family: Transfer RNA (tRNA) molecules are approximately 80 nucleotides in length. Their secondary structure includes four short double-helical elements and three loops (D, anti-codon, and T loops). The record is from RNAcentral. Lineage: Eukaryota; Metazoa; Chordata; Actinopteri; Carangiformes; Carangidae.
CAGAAGGUAGUUUAACGUUAGAAUCCUAGCUUUGGGAGUUAGGGGCGGGAGUUAAAAUCUCCCCUUUCUGA